Myotis davidii is the source of this 551-nucleotide long non-coding RNA. RefSeq lists it as uncharacterized. NCBI's taxonomy places the organism in Eukaryota, Metazoa, Chordata, Mammalia, Chiroptera, Vespertilionidae. The record is from RefSeq and is a predicted model, not a curated record. The transcript has 2 exons.
UCCUAGGAUAUUGGUUGGCACUCAAAGGGUUAAGUGGUCACUCAAGCCAUCAGGUUAUCAAGUCUUCAGCAUCACCACAUCCAGGCAGGGCAGGCUUCAGAGCGAGGUUUAAUGCAUUCAUACAUCCAGGUAAUAAGCCUUAGAUGAACAAAGUAUACGUGGAAAGGUGUGUAGUAAAUGCCACUACUUGUGUUAAAAAUAUACAGCUGUUAUGGACUGCAUAAGGGCUUCCUGCCCCCCAAAUUCCUAUGUUGAAGUUCUGAGCCCCAGUGUGGCUGUCUGGAUUGGGGCCUCUAAGGAUAUAAAGAGGUUAAAUAAGAUCAGAAAGGUGGGUCCUGGCACCCUGGGAUGAGUGCGGUUCUAGGAGACACCAGAGAGCCCACUUGCUCUCUCUUCCUCCCUCUACUCAGGCAUCAAGUGAGAAGGCAGCUGUCUGCAAGCCAGGAGUCAGGUCCUCACAAAGCCAACCCUGUUGGAACCUUGAUCUUAGACUUCCAGCCUCCAGAACUGUGAGAAAAUUGAAACUACUUUCAUUAUCUAAAUUCUGUUAA